Carassius auratus (goldfish) is the source of this 206-nucleotide long non-coding RNA. RefSeq lists it as uncharacterized. Lineage: Eukaryota; Metazoa; Chordata; Actinopteri; Cypriniformes; Cyprinidae. The transcript is spliced from 3 exons. The record is from RefSeq and is a predicted model, not a curated record.
GUGGACACACUAGAUCACUAUGAUGAUAUCAUCAUCAUUGGACAAAAUUUUCAAGGUGCAACAAAGGGAGAUCCCGAGUAUGAUGAUGUGAAGAACAGCAAUGAAGAUGAGAGAAACCUGUUAGACUAUGAUGAUGUGGGGGAGGAGACACACAAAGAAGGAGGGGCUAUAUGACUCAAUGGCCACACCCUCUGCCUAUGUUCAUG